CUUAUCAAGAGAGGUUGAGGGACAGGGCCCUGUGACACCCGGCAACCGGCAUAAUAAGCACGGUGCCAAUUCCCCCACAUUAUAUGUAAAUAUAUUGUGGAAGAUGAGA
This 109-nucleotide non-coding RNA is filed under the name chicken gut metagenome. RNAcentral describes it as "SAM riboswitch (S box leader)". It matches the Rfam family "SAM riboswitch aptamer (S box leader)". From Rfam's summary of the family: The SAM riboswitch is found upstream of a number of genes which code for proteins involved in methionine or cysteine biosynthesis in Gram-positive bacteria. The record is from RNAcentral.